MicroRNA precursor from Oryza sativa Japonica Group (Japanese rice), 205 nucleotides. It matches the Rfam family "MIR812 microRNA precursor family". NCBI's taxonomy places the organism in Eukaryota, Viridiplantae, Streptophyta, Magnoliopsida, Poales, Poaceae. The record is from Rfam.
AAAAAGGCAAAACCUGGGUUUCCAUGUCCAACUUUAACUGUCCGUUUUAUAUAAAAAAUUUUUAUAAUUCGUAUUUUCAUUGUUGUUAGAUGAUAAAACAUGAUUAGUAUUUUAUGCGUGACUUGUCUUUUUAAUAUUUUUUAUAAUUUUUUUAAAUAAGACGGACGGUAAAACUCUAGACACAGAAACCAUGGUUUGUCUUUUU